Molecule: long non-coding RNA, 1350 nt
Organism: Drosophila rhopaloa
Lineage: Eukaryota; Metazoa; Arthropoda; Insecta; Diptera; Drosophilidae
Exons: 3
Source: RefSeq, a predicted model, not a curated record
GACUAAUUUCCUGUAAAAAAAGGUUUUGAAAAAGUUAAAAAUUAGAAAACAAAAAUAUUAAAACAAGAGCUACAAGCUACAACCUUUCUCCGAAAAUCUAGUAUGCUAAAAAUAUCUAUAUAGGGGUCACCAUUAGUUAUAUAGCGUCAGUAAACCGCCGGUAGACUGUUGAAAACAACGCAUUUUUCACGACACUUUCAAGAAACAAAAAGAGAUAGUUCAUACGAAAAAUGACUGAAAGCGAAACGACUGUUGAAUCUUUCAUGAAGUGGAAACGCCCUAAGAUUUAAAUGUCAGCGCAUCGGCGAGGAAAUUGAAACAACGUGAUUUUGAAGUCAUUGAAGUGGAUUUUUCGUUCGGCUAUCAUUUCGUCACUUUUGUAACAGUUUUUGAUGCCCUUUCGAACGUCGUUGUGUGUAAAGUGUGUCAUUCUGAAGUAAAAUUCUCAGAGAGCAGUAAACGAGGAUUGGGAUUUAAACUUGUUGUAUCCUGUGAUAAAUGCGAGAAAAAAGAAAUACCGAAUAGCACAUACAUCAAGAAUGCCUACGAAUAAUCGAAGAAUUAUUUUUGCCAUGCGAUUGCUUGGAAUCGGUCUGCAUGGAAUAAGAAAAUUUCGCGCGUUUAUGGAAUUGCCCCGCCCCGUCUUUCAAGCGACUUAUGACAGUAUUAUCGCACACAUUUUGUCUGCAAGAGAAGUAGUUUUCAAGAGCAGUAUGUCAAAUGCAGCACAAGAAGAUGAUGUUUUCGAAGCCAUAAAGCCGGUAUACCCGCUGCAUUGGAGGAUACACGCAAAAUAACAAUGAGAGUUUCAACUCGACUGUGUGGGCGAUGGCUCCAAAAACGAUGAAUUUCGUUUCGAGUUUUGCCAGGCAGUGGACCAGAACCGCAUCAAAAAAGCAGAAUAAUCAUUGAGUGAUGGAGCAAAACAGGCCCGCCUCGACUUAAAAGCUGUUUGGAAGGAGAAGCAACGGGUGGACAUCGAUAUAGAAGGCCAAUUGUAUGAUGCAGGCAUCGCAGAUUAAAGGUGUAGAUCCUUGGAACUGGUAACGGCGUAAUAUGCGCUCUCCUUAUAGUGAGAAGACGAAAUUUGUUUUUAUUUUUGACAGUUGUGUUCCGUUUUUAUAUAUUUUUAAGUAAACGACUAUGCCAAAGUUUCCAGCUGUAUUAAAUGAAAUUCCGAAUAUUAUUCUUAGCAUACAGUUUGAGGCUAAGAUUAAUUAAAUAAUAUUAAACGUAUUUUAAUUGCCGGAGAAUAACUAUCAUCGGUAAAAAUAAAAGUCGCUAUACGUAAUAAAAGUCAAAAGAUGGCUGCAGCAAUAGAUUAAAAAAAAUGUAUUGGCAAUAGAUGGC